GUCCUACGGGACGCAGCAGUGAGGAAUAUUGGUCAAUGGUCGGGAGACUGAACCAGCCAAGCCGCGUGAGGGAUGAAGGUACAGAGUAUCGUAAACCUCUUUUGUCAGGGAACAAAGGCGGGGACGUGUCCCCGGAUGAGUGUACCUGAAGAAAAAGCAUCGGCUAACUCCGUGCCAGCAGCCGCGGUAAUACGGAGGAUGCGAGCGUUAUCCGGAUUUAUUGGGUUUAAAGGGUGCGUAGGCGGAAGGUUAAGUCAGCGGUCAAAUGUCGGUGCUCAACACCGGCCUGCCGUUGAAACUGGUCU
RNAcentral lists this ribosomal RNA (305 nucleotides) under uncultured bacterium. RNAcentral's name for it is "bacterial SSU rRNA". It matches the Rfam family "Bacterial small subunit ribosomal RNA", at positions 335 to 639 of the family's 1533-position model. The record is from RNAcentral.